Mastomys coucha (southern multimammate mouse) is the source of this 182-nucleotide small nucleolar RNA. RefSeq annotates it as small nucleolar RNA SNORA81. The transcript has a single exon. Lineage: Eukaryota; Metazoa; Chordata; Mammalia; Rodentia; Muridae. The record is from RefSeq and is a predicted model, not a curated record.
CCCUAAGAAUAUAGACAUGCAUUGGCCUCAUCAUAUUCCAGGUCAAUUAGAUAGUCUAGCUACUAGAUAACGUGGAGUUAAAAAUGCCUUUGUUGAAAGUAACUGCACUGGAUUGCAAAGACUGGGGUGGACUUCUUUCUUAAUGUCCAGUGUCCUGUGUCAUAAGAUUCGGUACAAUAAUU